UAAAACUCAAAAGAAUUGACGGGGACCCGCACAAGCGGUGGAGCAUGUGGUUUAAUUCGAUGCAACGCGAAAAACCUUACCACUCCUUGACAUGGAGAUUAGAUCCUUCUUAACGGAAGGGCGCAGUUCGGCUGGAUCUCGCACAGGUGCUGCAUGGCUGUCGUCAGCUCGUGUCGUGAGAUGUUGGGUUAAGUCCCGCAACGAGCGUAACCCUCAUCCUUAGUUGCCAGCGGGUAAUGCCGGGCACUUUAAGGAAACUGCCGGUGGUAAACUGGAGGAAGGUGGGGAUGAUGUCAAGUCAGCACGGCCCUUAUGGGGUGGGCUACACACGUGCUACAAUGGUGACUACAAUAGGUUGCAAUGUCGCAAGGCUGAGCUAAUCCGUAAAAGUCAUCUCAGUUCGGAUUGUCCUCUGCAACUCGAGGGCAUGAAGUCGGAAUCGCUAGUAAUCGUGGAUCAGCAUGCCACGGUGAAUACGUUCUCGGGUCUUGUACACACUGCCCGUCACGCCAUGGGAAUUGGCUUAACUCGAAGCUGGUGCGCUAAC
This 547-nucleotide ribosomal RNA is filed under the name Anaplasma phagocytophilum. RNAcentral's name for it is "bacterial SSU rRNA". It matches the Rfam family "Bacterial small subunit ribosomal RNA", at positions 895 to 1439 of the family's 1533-position model. Lineage: Bacteria; Pseudomonadati; Pseudomonadota; Alphaproteobacteria; Rickettsiales; Anaplasmataceae. The record is from RNAcentral.